GUGUCAGCAGCCGCGGUAAUACGAAGGGGGCUAGCGUUGUUCGGAAUUACUGGGCGUAAAGCGCGCGCAGGCGGUCUUCCAAGUCAGUGGUGAAAGCCCGGAGCUCAACUCCGGAACUGCCAUUGAAACUGUGAGACUUGAGUAUGAGAGAGGUGAGUGGAAUUCCCAGUGUAGAGGUGAAAUUCGUAGAUAUUGGGAAGAACACCGGUGGCGAAGGCGGCUCACUGGCUCAUUACUGACGCUCAGGCGCGACAGCGUGGGGAUCAAACAGGAUUAGAAACCCUAGUAGUCC
This 292-nucleotide ribosomal RNA is filed under the name uncultured bacterium. RNAcentral describes it as "partial 16S ribosomal RNA". It matches the Rfam family "Bacterial small subunit ribosomal RNA", at positions 505 to 796 of the family's 1533-position model. The record is from RNAcentral.